GAUCGCAGUGAUGACCUCAUGAAAUUCAAGCUCAACAGACCGGAAUGCAGGCUUCUCAUCUGAGAACUUUGCGUGUCGACCACCCCGCUGAACUGAGCGAUC
Molecule: non-coding RNA, 102 nt
Organism: Gossypium hirsutum (cotton)
Lineage: Eukaryota; Viridiplantae; Streptophyta; Magnoliopsida; Malvales; Malvaceae
Source: Rfam